GCUUAGCUCAGCUGGUUCAGAGCAUCUGCCUUACAAGCAGAGGGUCGGCGGUUCGAAUCCGUCAGCGC
Molecule: transfer RNA, 68 nt
Filed under: bovine gut metagenome
Also listed under: 1 other name
Rfam family: tRNA
About the family: Transfer RNA (tRNA) molecules are approximately 80 nucleotides in length.
Source: RNAcentral